AACCAUAGAAACCUGCGGAGUACCUGCGGAAGGAUCAUUAUUGAAUGAAUCUAGAGUCGGUUGUCGCUGGCCCUUUCAGGGGGGCAUGUGCACGCCUUCUCUUUCAUCCACACACCCCUGUGCACUUGUGAGACGCGGAGUGUGCUUUUUUAUAAGCCCUUCCGUCUGCUAAAUCACACAAACUCAUUGUAUUUAAACUGAAUGUAAUUGAUGUAACACAUCAUUAGAACUAACUUUUAA
Molecule: unclassified non-coding RNA, 240 nt
Filed under: soil metagenome
Description: partial contains 5.8S ribosomal RNA, internal transcribed spacer 2, and large subunit ribosomal RNA
Source: RNAcentral